This 2542-nucleotide long non-coding RNA is filed under the name Phoenix dactylifera (date palm). RNAcentral describes it as "long non-coding RNA (PDAC_LNC006614)". Lineage: Eukaryota; Viridiplantae; Streptophyta; Magnoliopsida; Arecales; Arecaceae. The record is from RNAcentral.
UCCUUGUUUUAUUUGGUAAAAAUUGUCUUCGGUCUUUUUUAUUUGCCUCUUUCCUCUUUUCUCUUGAUAAACUAGGUAAUAAGAUUAUUAAUGCCUAACAGAAUUGAUUGCCAUUGUUCACUUAAGCUCUACAGGGACUAUCCAAUUUAUGAGAACCUUUUCUUAUAGUUCUUAAAAGUAAUGAUAUAAAAUUAACUGAAAAUUUGCAGGAUGUUAUCCUAUUAUAAAUUGAUAUAAUCUUAUUACUUUUACGAUGAAUUAACCUGUCUAAUGUUCAUUGUAGAUCCUUGGAUAUGGCUUGUUGAUUAUUAGGUCUUUGGCAGACAAUAUAUAAUUAACUCAUGGGUGGUUUUUGAUUUUUAAAAAGCACAAUCAAAUUUGAGUGUAAUUAUUAGUAUGUUUAGAUGUGUACUCUAAAUUCACUAAAUUAAACUAGAAAACAUAGCUAAGUCUCUUCGCAUGGUAGUUUUCUACAAACAGAAGUUUUGACCAACACAUAGGCAAUCAGAUGCAAGUACUCUAUUAGCAGAAAGUAUCAAAGUAUCCAAUCAUGCCCAUGCAAAGCAUGACUUUUAAAUCUAGCAUGAAUCGAAACUAAAACUUUUAAUCUCUCUAAAAGCAUUAUAAACCUUUUAAAACACCUUUAGAUUUUUAAACCUGUAUGCCAAUUAAUUUGGUUUUCAAGUAACCUAGAUGAUUCUUGUAAUAUGUCUGGAAUUAGUUAUCAAAUUGAUUAUGAAGAAGAUUGGACAAGAGUAGAAUGUAGUGCUUAUGCUAGCUUAUGCAUUUUAGCAUGUCUAUUUAUUUUAACUUUCCAUAUUAUCAUAAAGAUGUAACAAAUAAGAUUUAAGAUUCUAGAGUGUGUACAGAAAGUCAUCAUUGGAUCGUGUCUGCUGGAAAUAGUGUAACAUCCUAAAAUAAACAAAUGACACAUCAAGUUUGAAUACUAUACUUAUAAAUUGAUAUUACCAUCAUUAUAAAAGGAUGUCCCAGUGCACAAUGCUCCCACAAUUGCGGGAUUUGGAUAGGGUCAGAUAUACAUAGUCUUACCCGUGCGUGUGAAGAGGUUGUUUCUGUGUUUUGAAGCCAUAAAAUCUAGGUUACAAUGGAGCAAACUUAUUAUUGCGCCAAGGUCCGUCCUCUGAUAUUUCUGUCGUUAUAUCAUUUUUUUAUGUCUAGAAAAUAGAUGUUAUUGAAUAAUUUCAAUAACAACAAUAUUUUUAUAACUAUAUUAUAUGGUUGAUUAUGGAUCUACUUGCAACCAAAACCCAAUAAGAAAUCCUGAACAUAGAUCUUAGUUCUAGUCUAGAUUGAAGACUUGUUUCCACUUUCCCUUUUGAGGUUUAGGGGCUAAAGUUUUGUUGAUCAUUGGUUAUUUGUUAAUUAUCUAUAUUAUGCUAAGAAGAGUAUUUUAACUUUUGUAGCCUCCUCUUAUACAUUCCAUUUCUCGGCUUUUUGGAUGAAAAUAUUCUCAACUUAAUUCUAAAAUAAAAAAGAAAAAUGUAUUCAGAGGAAGAUAAGAACUCAACUUAACUCAACCAAGCCUUAAUCCCAUAUUAGUUGGGGCUUGCUACAUGAAUCCAUUUUCUUCAUUCUGCUCUAUUUAGGGCCAUAGAAAGAUGUAGCAAUAUCAAGCCCUUAUUGCUUCAUCUCAUGUGAUUUUUAGUCUAACUCUACCUCUCUUUCCUUCUAUACAUGUUAAACCACUCCUUCACACUGGUGCAUCUCUUGGCCUACGUUGUACAUGUCUAAACUAUUUAACUCAUCCUUCGUUCAUUUUGUUCUCAAUUGGUGCUACUUCUACGCAUAUCAAAUCCCACUUUCAUAUUGGCGCAACAUUUGGCCUAUGUCGUACAUGUCUAAACGAGCUCAUUCUUAUUCUCGGGCUAGUGCUUAUCCUCGAGCUGAAUUUUAUUCUCGGGCUGGUGUUUACCCCCGAGGGUGCUUACCUCCGAGCUCGUUCUUAUUCUCGGGCUGGUGCUUAUCCUCGAGCUGGAUUAUAUUCUCGGGCUGGUGCUUACCCCCGAGCUGGAUCUUAUUCUCGGGAUGGUGCUUACCCUCGAGCUCAUUUCUAUUCUCGGGCUGGUGCUUACCCCCGAGCUCGUUUCUACUCUCGAGCUGGUGCUUACCCCGAGCUCGUUUCUACUCUCGAGUUGGUACUCAUCCUCGAGCAGAUUUCUGCUCUCGAACUGGGUUUUACCCUCAAACUGGUCUCACUUAUUCUCCGACGCCGCUCCGCAGGUCGGCCUCGGGGUGCCCUACGGAAUCAAAUGAAGAGCUACAAGCUCAUUCGACUGCGAGGACAUCUCUAAAAUCGGGAAUAAGAACUUAAUGCCAAGUACUAAAUGAAACGAGUUUAAACGUUUCGUUGGACCUCAAAAAGCAAAGCGUUGGAGAAAAGUGCGCUUCAUUAAUAUUAAGGGGCAAGGACCGAGUACAAAAGAAACCGACCUUGAGGUCGGGUUGAAUACAGAAGGCUCGAGUGGCCGACUUUAUAAAAAGAGAAAUAAAAAGUCAGCACAGUCAACUUGAAUGACCUCAA